CCUACGGGAGGCAGCAGUGAGGAAUAUUGGUCAAUGGCCGGAAGGCUGAACCAGCCAAGCCGCGUGAGGGAGGAAGGCGCAGAGAGUCGCAGACCUCUUUUGCCGGGGGACAAAAGGCCGGGCUCGUCCGGUCCUGAGGGUACCCGGCUAAAAAGCAGCGGCUAACUCCGUGCCAGCAGCCGCGGUAAUACGGAGGAUGCCAGCGUUAUCCGGAUUCAUUGGGUUUAAGGGGUGCGCAGGGGGUCCUUUAAGCCGUCGGUGAAAUCGAGGGGCUCAACCCCGCCGAGCCUGCGAAACUGGGGGCCUUGAGUGCGGCGGAGGCAUGCGGAAUGCGCGGUGUAGCGGUGAAAUGCAUAGAUAUCGCGCAGAACCCCGAGUGCGAAGGCAGCGUGCCGGGCCGCCACUGACAGUGAGGCUCGAAAGUGUGGGUAUCAAACAGGAUUAGAUACCCUUGUAGUC
Molecule: ribosomal RNA, 459 nt
Filed under: uncultured bacterium
Lineage: Bacteria
Description: partial 16S ribosomal RNA
Rfam family: Bacterial small subunit ribosomal RNA
Source: RNAcentral